This 398-nucleotide ribosomal RNA is filed under the name uncultured bacterium. RNAcentral's name for it is "partial 16S ribosomal RNA". It matches the Rfam family "Bacterial small subunit ribosomal RNA", at positions 360 to 774 of the family's 1533-position model. The record is from RNAcentral.
AAUAUUGCGCAAUGGGGGAAACCCUGACGCAGCAACGCCGCGUGAGCGAUGAAGGNCUNNGGGUCNUNAAGCUCUGUCCUUGGNNNNNAAUAAUGACAGUACCCAAGGAGGAAGCCCCGGCUAACUACGUGCCAGCAGCCGCGGUAAUACGUAGGGGGCAAGCGUUGUCCGGAAUUACUGGGCGUAAAGGGCGCGUAGGCGGUCUUGUAAGUCAGAUGUGAAAGUCCAGGGCUCAACCGUGGAAUUGCAUUUGAAACUAUAGGACUUGAGUGCAGGAGAGGAGAGCGGAAUUCCUAGUGUAGCGGUGAAAUGCGUAGAGAUUAGGAAGAACACCAGUGGCGAAGGCGGCUCUCUGGACUGUAACUGACGCUGAGGCGCGAAAGCGUGGGUAGCGAACA